Molecule: unclassified non-coding RNA, 239 nt
Filed under: Hevea brasiliensis (rubber tree)
Lineage: Eukaryota; Viridiplantae; Streptophyta; Magnoliopsida; Malpighiales; Euphorbiaceae
Source: RNAcentral
AUUGCAAUGAUCUAAACUAUCAAAAUUCUCAUCGAGCGUUAAUCUCAUUGUCUCUCUGAAUUUUUAGACUAUUUUAAAAUGUUUAAGGGUUGAUUUAUUUGAUAGAUGAUUGAGUUAAAAAAUGAGUUUGAUCGGUUGGAUGAUUUUUUGAUUAUGUCACUUUCUGUUAAAUUGAAUCUAAUCACGCUCGCAUAUGAUUUACUAAUUAAGAAUUAACAUAAUUUUUUAUAAAAUUCAAG